Molecule: ribosomal RNA, 624 nt
Filed under: Staphylococcus aureus
Lineage: Bacteria; Bacillati; Bacillota; Bacilli; Caryophanales; Staphylococcaceae
Description: partial 23S ribosomal RNA
Rfam family: Bacterial large subunit ribosomal RNA
Source: RNAcentral
CACUGCCGAGAAAAGCCUCUAGAUAGAAAAUAGGUGCCCGUACCGCAAACCGACACAGGUAGUCAAGAUGAGAAUUCUAAGGUGAGCGAGCGAACUCUCGUUAAGGAACUCGGCAAAAUGACCCCGUAACUUCGGGAGAAGGGGUGCUCUUUAGGGUUAACGCCCAGAAGAGCCGCAGUGAAUAGGCCCAAGCGACUGUUUAUCAAAAACACAGGUCUCUGCUAAACCGUAAGGUGAUGUAUAGGGGCUGACGCCUGCCCGGUGCUGGAAGGUUAAGAGGAGUGGUUAGCUUCUGCGAAGCUACGAAUCGAAGCCCCAGUAAACGGCGGCCGUAACUAUAACGGUCCUAAGGUAGCGAAAUUCCUUGUCGGGUAAGUUCCGACCCGCACGAAAGGCGUAACGAUUUGGGCACUGUCUCAACGAGAGACUCGGUGAAAUCAUAGUACCUGUGAAGAUGCAGGUUACCCGCGACAGGACGGAAAGACCCCGUGGAGCUUUACUGUAGCCUGAUAUUGAAAUUCGGCACAGCUUGUACAGGAUAGGUAGGAGCCUUUGAAACGUGAGCGCUAGCUUACGUGGAGGCGCUGGUGGGAUACUACCCUAGCUGUGUUGGCUUUCUAACCC